GUGUACUAUAUCCCACGCCUUCUGCCGUGGCCCCAGGCCAUUGGACCCGGAUCGUCUAAAUAUUUUCGUGGAUGCCGGAUACGGCCUAAGAAACCAUAGUCACCGCCCCGCCAUGACCAAAUAACAAUUUUUGGGAGUUUACCGCCAUAUAAUUGGGAAUCCGCGAGAGUCCCAAAUUUUCGUGUGCUAUAUCCCACGCCAUCUGCCGUGGCCCCGGGCCAUUGGACCCGGAUCGUCUAAAAUUUUUUCUUGGACGCCGGAUACGGCCAAAGAAACGAUAGUCACCGCCCCGCCAUGAUCAAAUAACAUUUUUUGGGAGUUUACCGCCGUAUAAUUAGGAAUCCGCGCGAGUCCAAAAUUUUCGUGUGCUAUAUCCCACGCCUUCUGCCGUGGCCCCAUGCCAUUAGACCCGGAUCGUCUAAAUUUUUUCGUGGAUGCCGGAUACGGCCAAAGAAACCAUAGUCACUGCCCCGCCAUGACCAAAUAAUAUUUUUUGGGAGUUUACCGCCAUAUAAUUGGGAAUCCGCGCGAGUCCCAAAUUUUCGUGUGCU
RNAcentral lists this long non-coding RNA (551 nucleotides) under Nicotiana benthamiana. Its description in RNAcentral is "long non-coding RNA (NBEN_LNC023565)". Lineage: Eukaryota; Viridiplantae; Streptophyta; Magnoliopsida; Solanales; Solanaceae. The record is from RNAcentral.